CCCUAUUAUUUUGAGUGUUAAUGUUUUUACCUGAGUAGUAUUAGUUGUGUUCUUGAAACUUAAAGAAUUUGGCGGUAUCUUACUCCGUUCAGAGGAAUCUGUCUCGUUAUCGAUAGUCCGCGUUGGACCUUACUUGGGAUUAAAUUUUGGUUUGUAUACCGCCGUUUAUUGAUUAUCUUUUUAGAGUUUCUGAAUUUUCUGGUUUCUUUAAUUUGAUUUAUUGCAGGUCAAGGUGCAGCUUUUUCUAAGUGUAAUGAUGGAUUACAGUGUUAUGUGUUGUUUGGAUUGUUUGGUUUGAAUAUUGGCAUGAAAUUGGAUUUGGUUGUAAUGUUUUGUAGAUUGUUUUCAUGAUAGUUGGUUCUAGGAUAUGUACACAUCGCCCGUCGCUCUCAUUUAAGUUAUUGGUGAGAUAAGUC
This 416-nucleotide ribosomal RNA is filed under the name Odontotermes escherichi. RNAcentral's name for it is "partial 12S ribosomal RNA". The record is from RNAcentral. Lineage: Eukaryota; Metazoa; Arthropoda; Insecta; Blattodea; Termitidae.